AGCAGAGCCCAGAGAGGAAUAAACCAAGACCACCAGCUAAGUCACUGCGUAAUGUGCUAUGGAUAUGAGCAUUGAAUGCCCUCAGUGGCAAUGACUCAGGACCAAGUCGACCUUUUGCAGGAAUUACCUGCAAAGGAAACUGGGAACUCCACGGCAUCUGUCAUCCUUCCCUCCAGAUGGUGCCUCCAAAUCUCUUCUGAAAUGGUGUGUGCAGAGCAGACACAGAGUGCCUAUCACUCAGCCCUCUGGUGGUCCUCCGGGACAGAGAGAACACAAAAUCAGAAAUAAG
This is a long non-coding RNA of Lagopus leucura (white-tailed ptarmigan), 289 nucleotides long. RefSeq lists it as uncharacterized. NCBI's taxonomy places the organism in Eukaryota, Metazoa, Chordata, Aves, Galliformes, Phasianidae. The transcript has 3 exons. The record is from RefSeq and is a predicted model, not a curated record.